GGCCUAUCAGCUUGUUGGUAAGGUAAUGGCUUACCAAGGCAAUGACGGAUAGCGGGUGUGAGAGCAUGACCCGCCUCACUGGGACUGAGACACUGCCCAGACUCCUACGGGAGGCUGCAGUCACGAAUAUUCCUCAAUGGCCGCAAGGCUGAAGGAGCGACGUCGCGUGCAGGAAGACGCUUUUCGGAGUGUAAACUGCUUUUAUUAGGGAAGAAUCAAUGACUGUACCUAAUGAAUAAGGGGCUGCUAACCUCGUGCCAGCAGCAGCGGUAAUACGAGGGCCCCAAGCGUUAUCCGGAUUUAUUGGGCGUAAAGGGUCCGUAGGCGGUCUGUUGCAUCUCCUGUUAAAUCUUCAGGCUCAACCUGGAGGCUGCGGGAGAGAUGAAUAGACUAGAGGCCGGUAGAGGCAAGCGGAAUUGCUGGUGUAGGGGUUAAAUCCGUUAAUAUCAGCAGGAAUGCCAAAUGCGAAGGCAGCUUGCUAGAACGCGCCUGACGUUCAAGGACGAAAGCGUGGGGAGCGAAGAGGAUUAGAUACCCUCGUAGUCCACGCCGUAAACGCUGGAUGCUAAGCAUUGGAAGUAUCGACCCUUUCAGUGCUGUUAAUUUAAGGUAACCCGUUAAGCACCCCGCCUGGGGAGUACG
RNAcentral lists this ribosomal RNA (642 nucleotides) under uncultured bacterium. Its description in RNAcentral is "bacterial SSU rRNA". It matches the Rfam family "Bacterial small subunit ribosomal RNA", at positions 235 to 884 of the family's 1533-position model. The record is from RNAcentral.